RNAcentral lists this transfer RNA (75 nucleotides) under Desulfuromonadales bacterium. RNAcentral's name for it is "tRNA-Asn". It matches the Rfam family "tRNA". Rfam says of the family: Transfer RNA (tRNA) molecules are approximately 80 nucleotides in length. Their secondary structure includes four short double-helical elements and three loops (D, anti-codon, and T loops). Further hydrogen bonds mediate the characteristic L-shaped molecular structure. tRNAs have two regions of fundamental functional importance: the anti-codon, which is responsible for specific mRNA codon recognition, and the 3' end, to which the tRNAs corresponding amino acid is attached (by aminoacyl-tRNA synthetases). tRNAs cope with the degeneracy of the genetic code in two manners: having more than one tRNA (with a specific anti-codon) for a particular amino acid; and 'wobble' base-pairing, i.e. permitting non-standard base-pairing at the 3rd anti-codon position. Lineage: Bacteria; Pseudomonadati; Thermodesulfobacteriota; Desulfuromonadia; Desulfuromonadales. The record is from RNAcentral. RNAcentral also lists the same sequence under 2 other names.
UCCGGAUUAGCUCAGUGGUAGAGUAGGUGACUGUUAAUCACUUGGUCGUUGGUUCGAAUCCAACAUCCGGAGCCA